RNAcentral lists this ribosomal RNA (253 nucleotides) under uncultured bacterium. RNAcentral's name for it is "partial 16S ribosomal RNA". It matches the Rfam family "Bacterial small subunit ribosomal RNA", at positions 524 to 776 of the family's 1533-position model. The record is from RNAcentral.
UACGUAGGUGGCAAGCGUUAUCCGGAAUUAUUGGGCGUAAAGAGCGCGCAGGUGGUUGAUUAAGUCUGAUGUGAAAGCCCACGGCUUAACCGUGGAGGGUCAUUGGAAACUGGUCAACUGGAGUGCAGAAGAGGGAAGUGGAAUUCCAUGUGUAGCGGUGAAAUGCGUAGAGAUAUGGAGGAACACCAGUGGCGAAGGCGGCUUCCUGGUCUGUAACUGACACUGAGGCGCGAAAGCGUGGGGAGCAAACAGG